UUAAAACCUCAAAAUACCACCGAGAUCUUCAGAUUCUGGAGCUCUUAAAUCACAAUAAACACUCUGAAAGCUGAUUAACUUCUGCUAAUGAGACGCGUUUAACUCGGCGAUAAGAUCUGAGAUCAGUGUUUGGAGAAGAUUUAACCUUGUUAGAUAACAGUCUGGAUGGCAGGAGGAGGAAACAUCUGAAGGAAACUGGAGGAAACAUCUUGGCCACAUUUCUCACAGAUGUCUCUAACAUCCUGUUCCUGUCACCUCCUGGCCUCCAGACCUGCUGGAUGACAUCUAUUAGGUCCAGGAUGAUCCGUCCUCCUCCUGGCUCUGGACGGAGGGAAGUGGCAGCAGAUGAUUCAUGGAGCGAUGACUGACGGCUGAUUUACGAUUCAGCGCCGAGCUCUGACGGAGCUCCCUGACAGUCCGAGCAGCAGGAAGAGGAGCUGCUACCUGCAGGAUCACAGGUGGAUCGGAUCUAUCCAGGACCCAAACAGAGACAUGGUCACCAGUAAUUAACCGGCAGGGUUAGCUCCAACCACAGCUCUGCUCACAGUCUCUCUCUGGAAACCCAUCUGUUCCUCAACGUUCCACCUGAUUCUCCAUCCAUCUCCUCCUGCAUCAGGGUCAGAUGUUACUGCAACAUUAAAGGUCAACAUACAUCAUUUUAUUCUGCCUUGAAUGUACCUUUAUUGGAAAAAAACCCAUCUACAGAUGAUCCUGGUUUCUUCUUUUAUCAUCUAGAACUUGUUCUGACCAACCGCCUAUUGCUCCAAAAUACUUGAAAAUGACGAAACAAUGUCAAAAAUUGGUCAAUAAAUUCUUAAAAAUGACAUGAAAAUUAUCCAAAAAUACCCAUAAUGACUCACAUUUGUCAGAAAU
Molecule: long non-coding RNA, 873 nt
Organism: Amphiprion ocellaris (clown anemonefish)
Lineage: Eukaryota; Metazoa; Chordata; Actinopteri; Pomacentridae
Exons: 3
Source: RefSeq, a predicted model, not a curated record